AUUGAACGCUGGCGGUAUGCUUAACACAUGCAAGUCGAACGAUGAAAAAGAGCUUGCUCUUUCGAUUAGUGGCGGACGGGUGCGUAACGCGUAGGAAUCUACCUAUUAGUGGGGGACGACUUAGGGAAACUCAAGCUAAUACCGCAUACGCCCUAAGGGGGAAAGAAGGGGAUCGCAAGACCUUUGGCUAAUAGAUGAGCCUGCGUAGGAUUAGCUAGUUGGUGGGGUAAAAGCUCACCAAGGCGACGAUCCUUAACUGGUUUGAGAGAAUGAUCAGUCAGACUGGAACUGAGAUACGGUCCAGACUCCUACGGGAGGCAGCAGUGGGGAAUAUUGGACAAUGGGCGAAAGCCUGAUCCAGCAAUACCGCGUGUGUGAAGAAGGCCUUAGGGUUGUAAAGCACUUUCAAUUGGAAGGAAAACCUCGAAGCUAAUACCUUCGAGUUUGACAUUACCUUUAGAAGAAGCACCGGCUAACUCCGUGCCAGCCGCCGCAGUAA
This 499-nucleotide ribosomal RNA is filed under the name uncultured bacterium. RNAcentral describes it as "partial 16S ribosomal RNA". It matches the Rfam family "Bacterial small subunit ribosomal RNA", at positions 30 to 523 of the family's 1533-position model. The record is from RNAcentral.